CAGCAGUGUAUUAUAAGGAGUGUUCGUUUGAUGGUUUCAGCAAAAAGUCUGGGUAACAUGUCUUACUCAAAAGAAGGAUUUUAUUGCAAAGAUUUUUUUAUUUGGAUUUGGGAUCUGUUUCUUUUAGCCUAUGGUGAUUUGUAGAAGUACGGUUGGUGUUUGAUUGAGUCAGAUAUCAGGUGCUGAAGCAACUACAAGGCUUUUGGCAGCUUCAAUGGAUG
This 221-nucleotide unclassified non-coding RNA is filed under the name Hevea brasiliensis (rubber tree). Lineage: Eukaryota; Viridiplantae; Streptophyta; Magnoliopsida; Malpighiales; Euphorbiaceae. The record is from RNAcentral.